Molecule: long non-coding RNA, 2839 nt
Filed under: Heterocephalus glaber (naked mole-rat)
Lineage: Eukaryota; Metazoa; Chordata; Mammalia; Rodentia; Bathyergidae
Description: lncRNA (ENSHGLG00000050040.1)
Source: RNAcentral
GAAAGAGGGAAACCAGAAUGACGGCUGAUAGUUACAGAGCCUCUGAUUACAAAUAAAAACAAGUGAACCUGCCAUGAUGGAGAAACCAGGACGCAAUCCACUCUCCAAAUAGAAGUGUUUACAGCAUGUGAACGUGAGAUCAAGGAAGCUGGGCAAUGUGAACUGCCUGAACCCCACAGGUCACUGAACUGAAACAGGAAAUCAGAAGAAAGGCAAGGGAGAAAAAACAUUCUUGGGAGGGGGAAAAGACAGCAUAAACAAGAACAGGAAGGGGAAUGCAGGUAUGUGCUGGCCCCUCCCAACAGCCUGUAUGGCUGCUGUCUGCUGGCAACUUCUACCCUCAAUAAGGAAGAGAACAGGCCCAAGCAAAGGGCAGAGAAUGGUUUCAAGAUGCUUUCCUGCUUUUGGGAGACCACCAUCCCAAACUCUGGGACAUUUUGUGUUUCAGAGGAUCUAUCAAGGGGCAGAGCACUGUGGAUUUUGCUAUAAUAUUAAGGACAAGCCAGUCAGUAGUUAGACAGUGAAUGCACCUAAUAAUUCGGUACUGCGGGGACGAAAUACUCAAAGCUCUUCUUUCCUUUGGAGUAAAGAAAACCCCUGUGGCAGCUCUCCCAUAAGAGGCUCUCAAGAUGGCAAUCCUAAUUCUCCUUGUAUCAAUGCAGAAGCCUCAAACAACUACUGAAAGUGUCAAGAAAUGUCAGAAAGAAAGAGAAGCAUUAAAUUAAUAUAUAAGAUUCUAUCUUGUAUCAGUUGACCAAUCUAGUAGACUGUAUUAUAAAAGGGAUAACUGGGAUCCAAUUGGCAGAACAGCAAAAGAAAGUUAAAAGCAUCACUUCAUUUUCAAUAAAGCUUAGAUAAAAAGUGUUUUGCCAGAAAGCUCAUAUUUGUAAGCCAAUUAAAAAAAAAAAGAGGCAGGGAAUACUUCUUGUGAGUUCGUCCAGCAUACUUCACCUCAACUCUACAUGCUGACCCCAGUGUGCCUGUCUCACAUCCCCUUCUCCCAGAGCUGGGGGAGAUGCCUACAACAACAAAAGUUGAUAUUACUUGGGUGCUUUGCAUCUCAGUAAUACCAAGCCAUAAACAAAUGUAAAACAUCAACCUAUCUGGUAGUAAUGCAAAGAAGAGGAGGAGAAAGAGGAAGAGGAGGAAGAAGAAGGAGGAGGAGAAAGGAGGAGGGGAGAAGAAGACAUACAAUGAUUUCAGUUUCUGUUCUUUAGUUGAACCUUCUUUGUUCAGCAUUUGACCACUAUCUUGAUGGCAUUUUUUUGUUUUUGUACUGGGCAUCGAACUCAGGGCCUUGUGCUUGCCAGGCAGGUGCUGCAUUACAAAGCUACAUACCCAGCCCAUGAUGGGAUUUUUUUAUAGCUUCUGAAACCAUAGGUCAUUAGCUUUUAGGUGGAAAUAUCUACAUUGGAUUCUCACCUGCCUGAGUUUAACUUAACUUCUGAUGACUUAGGGAGUGAAGGAAGAAGGUACUAGCUGUAUUUAAUUUGGAAUGGGCUGAAGAUGUAUUUUUCUGGGUAGAAACCCUCUCUUCAAGGUUGAUCACUUCAAAUUUCAAGAGCUACAGAUGAAGGAUGACAUGCUUCCUGUGCCAUAGUAAGGCCUUGAGGCUCUCAAUGAAACAUCACUUAAUAUUCAAGGGGUUUCUUUCAUAUGUGCCUUGCUUAGCCUCUGGCUACGGAGAUGGUUAGCUGAAGGUUUUUAUGAACCAUCGCAACGAACAGAACCAUAAAUCUCAAGUCUAAUUAGGAAUGCUAUUCAGUUUUAAGAUGAGCUGACACACUCUUUGUAGGUCUUUGAGUUAGUAAAGCCAGUGGAUCAAUAUCAGCUGAAAGGCUGUUUCUUUCUGUUCACACAUGGAACCCAACAAAGGAAAGAAUUCUUCCUAGGAAACAGCGGAGAGACCUAUUUCUUCCAAAGUGGGCAAAUAUGUAGACAAUGACCAUUUUUCACAAUAAACAUUAGUCAAACUGUUUCUUUUUUAAAGCAUAGAUUUAUUGGGUGAGUUUGUGUGAAUGUGUGCAUUUGGCAAUGUUCUCGAAGGUUGUUCUUUUUUCAUGAGAGGGAAAAAAUAUGUCUCACCAAAGGCCAAGAAAACUAUUUUAGCUAAGAGAAGAGCUGCACUGGGUUGUAAUGUAACCCAGAAAAUAACUGUAGCCAGAGCCAGAAAACACUGUCACUAGAGAGGCCUUGGUAAGAACCAGCCUGUGAUAAGGGCCCCCUAGAUGGCUGCACUUCUAUUUUUAUGACCUCUACUGCAAGAAAAUGACCUUAAGAUAACCUUCAAGUCCUAAAUUUCUCUCUGAAAGAAAAUAUUAGGAGGGAAUAAGAAAAUUAUGGAAAGGCCCUAAAGAUUGAAAGGGAAAUUCUCUUGAAUUUACUUAGAGAGAAAAUAAUCAAAUUCUUUUAAAAUUAUCUUUUAUCUCACAGUACAAAAGAGGAAGUACUAGACACAUAGUCAGACCAAGCUUUCACAAGCCAGUUGCUGAAAUAGGUUAAAUUAAAAGCCAUCGAUUUAAUUAGGUCACCUCAGCACUUUGAUCAGGGAACCAUUUACCAAAUGUGACACCGUUCAAUAUUUGGCUGUUACAGUGGAGGAAGAAAAGAAGAAUCAAUUGUAGAAACUGCCAUGGAUGUGCAUAUAGGCAAAGCAUCCAACAGGUGGGUAAUAGGCAUGGGCACCAUGUCCAUGAUUUCCAUUUUCUCACCUUGGAUUGCUUUCCCUUUCCUGUUCUGCACCCUAGGGGCAAACUGUCCCAUGCUUCCAGCUUCUGGUUGGGUCUGGCAUUUGUGCAGGCAGAAGAGAGCUGCCUGGGUCUUUCUUCUCUAUUCUGCC